CACAGCAUAGUGGUUUGAGCGCUGGACUAUGACUCUGGAAACCAGGGUUCGAUUCCCUGCUUGG
This is a non-coding RNA of Phrynosoma platyrhinos (Desert horned lizard), 64 nucleotides long. Lineage: Eukaryota; Metazoa; Chordata; Lepidosauria; Squamata; Phrynosomatidae. The record is from the annotation of a GenBank genome assembly.